Molecule: long non-coding RNA, 354 nt
Organism: Aphis gossypii (cotton aphid)
Lineage: Eukaryota; Metazoa; Arthropoda; Insecta; Hemiptera; Aphididae
Exons: 4
Source: RefSeq, a predicted model, not a curated record
UUAAUUAUUAACACGGAGUGCAUUGUCUGACCCGAACAAAAACAAGGUUUUAUAUUAAUAAAAUAAAUUUUUCCCAAGAUAAGUUAUAACGAUUAGAUCACAAUCAUUCCACGAAACAAUACAAGUUUUAUUAUAACUAUUAAUAACAGUCGAAAUGAUUGAAAAUUGAUUACAAGAUUCCUCAAAACGAGGUUGACAAGUUAUAUUUUAUACAAUUCAAAUUCAACACAUCCGUUACAGUGACCUACUCAAUGAGUAAUUAUGAAGUAAACUCGAAACCUAUAAUAUAGCAGAAUAAAUUCUACGUAAUUUAUAAUAUAAAUAUGAAGAUAACUAUCACAUUUUUUUCAAACA